GAUGAACGCUGGCGGCGUGCUUAACACAUGCAAGUCGAACGAAGCACUUUACUUGACCUUUUCGGAGUGAUUGUUUUGUGACUGAGUGGCGGACGGGUGAGUAACGCGUGGGUAACCUGCCUCACACAGGGGGAUAACAGUUGGAAACGGCUGCUAAUACCGCAUAAGUGCACAGUACCGCAUGGUCCGGUGUGAAAAACUCCGGUGGUGUGAGAUGGACCCGCGUCUGAUUAGCUAGUUGGCAGGGCAACGGCCUACCAAGGCGACGAUCAGUAGCCGACCUGAGAGGGUGACCGGCCACAUUGGGACUGAGACACGGCCCAAACUCCUACGGGAGGCAGCAGUGGGGAAUAUUGCACAAUGGGGGAAACCCUGACGCAGCGACGCCGCGUGAGCGAAGAAGUAUUUCGGUAUGUAAAGCUCUAUCAGCAGGGAAGAAGAAGUGACGGUACCUGACUAAGAAGCACCGGCUAAAUACGUGCCAGCCGCCGCCGUAA
Molecule: ribosomal RNA, 497 nt
Filed under: uncultured bacterium
Lineage: Bacteria
Description: partial 16S ribosomal RNA
Rfam family: Bacterial small subunit ribosomal RNA
Source: RNAcentral